UAGGAAGUGGUGUAGUGGAAGCACUAGGAGUUUUGAUCUCUUGAGCAUGGGUUCGAAUCCCUUUUUCCUAA
RNAcentral lists this transfer RNA (71 nucleotides) under Echidna rhodochilus. RNAcentral describes it as "tRNA-Gln". It matches the Rfam family "tRNA". Rfam says of the family: Transfer RNA (tRNA) molecules are approximately 80 nucleotides in length. The record is from RNAcentral. Lineage: Eukaryota; Metazoa; Chordata; Actinopteri; Anguilliformes; Muraenidae.